This 76-nucleotide transfer RNA is filed under the name Sinobacterium norvegicum. Its description in RNAcentral is "tRNA-Glu". It matches the Rfam family "tRNA". From Rfam's summary of the family: Transfer RNA (tRNA) molecules are approximately 80 nucleotides in length. Their secondary structure includes four short double-helical elements and three loops (D, anti-codon, and T loops). The record is from RNAcentral. Lineage: Bacteria; Pseudomonadati; Pseudomonadota; Gammaproteobacteria; Cellvibrionales; Spongiibacteraceae.
GUCCCGUUCGUCUAGAGGCCUAGGACACUGCCCUUUCACGGCAGUAACAGGGGUUCGAGUCCCCUACGGGAUGCCA